Long non-coding RNA from Carassius carassius (crucian carp), 804 nucleotides. RefSeq lists it as uncharacterized. NCBI's taxonomy places the organism in Eukaryota, Metazoa, Chordata, Actinopteri, Cypriniformes, Cyprinidae. The transcript is spliced from 4 exons. The record is from RefSeq and is a predicted model, not a curated record.
GAUUCUGCAUUCUUGGAAAAAAAAAUAUAAAAAAAAAACAGAUAAAGAGGAUGAUGAAGAAAAAAUCUGAUGGUAUCAGGAAUAUAUGCGACAUCAUUCAGAGAAAUGUUUCACUUGAGGAUCAGGCUUUGAGAAGUCACGAAAGGAACCUUCACUCUCAUACUAUAUUUCUGCAGUUACUGCUAUAUCUGUGUGUUUGCAGUGCUGAUAAACGAAGUUUCUCUCCAGGUCACAGUCGAGGGGUUUAUCGGUGGUUCUGUCGUUCUGCCGUGUUCUUCAACUCAACAUGAUCUUAAACUUCAAGACAUUAAUGUGCACUGGAGACACAAUAACAGCAAGAUUGUGUAUGAUGUAGUUGAAGGAAAAGAUUUAACUGCAGCACAGGAUCAGCAGUACAAGAACAGAGCUGAAACUUUCACUAAAGUGUACGAGGGAGGAAACUUCUCUCUCAAAAUCACAAAUCUCACUCAAGCUGAUGCAGGAAAAUACAUCUGCCACAUCACAAACUCAUUCACACUUCAGACUGUACAGCUGGUCAUCAAAGAUAAUGAACAAGAAAAGCCUGACAAUGAGGGGUCCACAUUGCACUGGCUUUACAUUGCUGUACUGUUAAUAGUAAUAUUAAUAGCUUGUUUAAUCAUAUUUCUCUGUAUAAAAAAUGUCUGUCUGGUGCAGGAACACUGAAUGAGAUUUUGAAACAUCAGUACAUCGCUGCCUCAACAGUUUUGUCCCACGAGUGUCCCAUGUUGUGUUUGCUAAAAUAAAAUGUUGGUUACUUGUUUUCCUUUAAAUGUUAUUUCAAAU